Molecule: long non-coding RNA, 581 nt
Filed under: Linum usitatissimum (flax)
Lineage: Eukaryota; Viridiplantae; Streptophyta; Magnoliopsida; Malpighiales; Linaceae
Description: long non-coding RNA (LUSI_LNC005775)
Source: RNAcentral
GGCCAAUGCAGCUGUGCCAGUAAACUAACACAGUAAAACCACACGACAUAAUCAUCCAAACUACUCCUAGUUCAUCCUUCAAAGGUGCUUCCCUCCUGGAAUCAUAGAAGGUGUUACAGCGCGCACAAGGGACAGGACCCGCCUGUAAACCAUAAGCCUUUGCACACUCUACGCAGGUGAUACGGUUAGCAGAUAUCACAGACUUGCAAGCAUGUUUCUUCUUGCUGUGAUCUUCCAACAAUGCCACGGAAGCAAAUAAGACGUUACCGUCCGUGCAGACGAUGGGAAAAGUCUCGGGGAUCAAACAUCUUCUCACAGGUCGUGCACAUGACGCCGCGAGAAGCAUAUGAAUUUGUCAAUCAGUUGAAAACAAACAUCAAGUAGUCAAGAAAACAAGCCAAACUGUAGCAAUAACGGAGAUCUAUCGUUAUCAUUAUCAAAUCAUCAUUAUCAUUAUCAAUGAACAACAGCCCAUUGGAGAAAGCGAGGUAAUUACCGUAUUUUCAGAAGCAUUACUACCGCCCACCAGAGUGUUAAUGAAGCUGGCAAAUCUUUCCUUGCCUUGCGGAAUAUGAUUUUGA